GGGAAAUCCUUGAUCCAUGCCAUCCAGGCCUGUUACAAGCAAGGCCUUCGGGUUGUAAAAUGCCUUUGGCAGAGAAGAAAAAGUUUUCCCGUAAUAAGUGAAUACUGUUGACGGUAUAUGCAGAAUAAGCUACCGUCUUAACUCAGCAGCCAGCAGUCAUCGGUAAUACGUAAGGCGCAAUCGUUAAUUCGUAAGUGCUGAGCGUAAAGUAGGCGGUAUGCCGCUCUGAAAGAUAGAUGUGAAAUGCUCAGNCCUCAACCUGCAUCUGCAUUUUUAGAUGUCGAGUUAGAGUAUGUCAGAGGGNAGUAGAAUUGCAGGUGUAGCAGUGAUAUGUGUAGAUAUGUGGAGCAAUACCGAUGGCGAAGGCAGCCCCCUAGGAUAAUACUGACGCUCAGACACGAAAGAGCGGGGAGCAAUCAGGAUUAGAUACCUUGGUAGUCCACGCCAUAAAAGAUGUCAACUAGCUGUUGGGGCCGUUAGGCGUUAGUAGCGCAGCUAACGCGUGAAGUUGGCCGCGUGGGGUGUACGGUCGCAAAAUUAAAAGUCAAAGGAAUUGACGGGGAACCGCACAAGCGGUGGAUGAUGUUUAUUAAUUAGAUGCAACGCGAAAAACCUCCCCUACCUUUGACAUGUGUGGAAAGCCGAAGAGAUUUGUCCGUGCUCGCAAGAGCACCGCAACUCAGGCACUGCAUUGCUCUGGUCAGCUCGUGUGGUGAGAUGUUAAGUUAAGUCCCGCAACCAGCCCUACCCUUGUCAUUAGAUCCUACGCAAGAGCACUCUAAUGAGACUGCCGGUGACAAACCGGAGGAAAGUGGGGAAGAAGUCCAAUCCUCAUGGCCCUUAUGGGUAGGGGUUCCCCCCUCAUUCCAUGGUCGGUACCAAGGGUCACCGACCCGGGAGGGGGAACCAAUUUCACAAACCCCAUCUCAGUUCGGAUUGCAGUCUGCAACUCGGGUGCAUGAAGUCGGAAUCGCUAGUAAUCGCGGAUCAGCAUGUCGCGGUGAAUACGUUCCCGGGUCUUGUACACACCGCCCGUCACAUCCAUGGGAGUGGGUUUCACCCAGAAAGUCGGUAGCUUAACCGCUAAGGAAGGCACGCCGUACCCACGAGGAUC
Molecule: ribosomal RNA, 1114 nt
Filed under: Alcaligenes faecalis
Lineage: Bacteria; Pseudomonadati; Pseudomonadota; Betaproteobacteria; Burkholderiales; Alcaligenaceae
Description: bacterial SSU rRNA
Rfam family: Bacterial small subunit ribosomal RNA
Source: RNAcentral